This 727-nucleotide ribosomal RNA is filed under the name fungal endophyte. Its description in RNAcentral is "eukaryotic LSU rRNA". The stretch from base 503 to 727 matches the Rfam family "Eukaryotic large subunit ribosomal RNA", at positions 1 to 225 of the family's 3401-position model. The record is from RNAcentral. Lineage: Eukaryota; Fungi.
UUACCGAGUGAGGGCCCUCUGGGUCCAACCUCCCACCCGUGUUUAUUUUACCUUGUUGCUUCGGCGGGCCCGCCUUAACUGGCCGCCGGGGGGCUCACGCCCCCGGGCCCGCGCCCGCCGAAGACACCCUCGAACUCUGUCUGAAGAUUGAAGUCUGAGUGAAAAUAUAAAUUAUUUAAAACUUUCAACAACGGAUCUCUUGGUUCCGGCAUCGAUGAAGAACGCAGCGAAAUGCGAUACGUAAUGUGAAUUGCAAAUUCAGUGAAUCAUCGAGUCUUUGAACGCACAUUGCGCCCCCUGGUAUUCCGGGGGGCAUGCCUGUCCGAGCGUCAUUGCUGCCCUCAAGCCCGGCUUGUGUGUUGGGCCCCGUCCUCCGAUCUCCGGGGGACGGGCCCGAAAGGCAGCGGCGGCACCGCGUCCGGUCCUCGAGCGUAUGGGGCUUUGUCACCCGCUCUGUAGGCCCGGCCGGCGCUUGCCGAUCAACCCAAAUUUUUAUCCAGGUUGACCUCGGAUCAGGUAGGGAUACCCGCUGAACUUAAGCAUAUCAAUAAGCGGAGGAAAAGAAACCAACAGGGAUUGCCCCAGUAACGGCGAGUGAAGCGGCAAGAGCUCAAAUUUGAAAGCUGGCUCCUUCGGGGUCCGCAUUGUAAUUUGCAGAGGAUGCUUCGGGAGCGGUCCCCAUCUAAGUGCCCUGGAACGGGACGUCAUAGAGGGUGAGAAUCCCGUA